GCAAUUAAACAUGGGUGCUUGCACCGGGUGGAUGAGUGGCGAACGGGUGAGUAACACGUGAGUAACCUGCCCCUGACUUCGGGAUAAGCCCGGGAAACUGGGUCUAAUACCGGAUACGACUGCCGGACGCAUGUCUGGUGGUGGAAAGUUUUUUCGGUUGGGGAUGGGCUCGCGGCCUAUCAGUUUGUUGGUGAGGUAAUGGCUCACCAAGACGACGACGGGUAGCCGGCCUGAGAGGGCGACCGGCCACACUGGGACUGAGACACGGCCCAGACUCCUACGGGAGGCAGCAGUGGGGAAUAUUGCACAAUGGGGGAAACCCUGAUGCAGCGACGCAGCGUGCGGGAUGACGGCCUUCGGGUUGUAAACCGCUUUCAGCAGGGAAGAAGCGCAAGUGACGGUACCUGCAGAAGAAGUACCGGCUAACUACGUGCCAGCAGCCGCGGUAAUACGUAGGGUACGAGCGUUGUCCGGAAUUAUUGGGCGUAAAGAGCUCGUAGGUGGUUGGUCACGUCUGCUGUGGAAACGCAACGCUUAACGUUGCGCGUGCAGUGGGUACGGGCUGACUAGAGUGCAGUAGGGGAGUCUGGAAUUCCUGGUGUAGCGGUGAAAAUGCGCAGAUAUCAGGAGGAACACCGGUGGCGAAAGGCGGGGACUCUGGGCUGUAACUGACACUGAAGGAGCGAAAGCAUGGGGAGCGGAACAGGAUUUAGAUACCCUGGUAGUCCAUGCCCGUAAACGUUGGGCCACUUAGUGUGGGGGGGCAUUUCCAACGAUUACUCCGCGACGCUAGCUAAACGCAUUAAAGUGUCCCCCGCCCUUGGGGAGAGUUACCGGUCCGCCAAAGGCCUAAUAGACUUC
This 861-nucleotide ribosomal RNA is filed under the name Brevibacterium casei. Its description in RNAcentral is "bacterial SSU rRNA". It matches the Rfam family "Bacterial small subunit ribosomal RNA", at positions 64 to 873 of the family's 1533-position model. The record is from RNAcentral. Lineage: Bacteria; Bacillati; Actinomycetota; Actinomycetes; Micrococcales; Brevibacteriaceae.